CCUACGGUGGCUGCAGUGGGGAAUAUUGGACAAUGGGCGAAAGCCUGAUCCAGCCAUGCCGCGUGUGUGAAGAAGGCCUUCGGGUUGUAAAGCACUUUCAGUGGGGAAGAAAGCCUUGGGGCUAAUACCCUCGAGGAAGGACAUCACCCACAGAAGAAGCACCGGCUAACUCCGUGCCAGCAGCCGCGGUAAUACGGAGGGUGCGAGCGUUAAUCGGAAUUACUGGGCGUAAAGCGCGCGUAGGCGGUCUGAUAAGCCGGUUGUGAAAGCCCCGGGCUCAACCUGGGAACGGCAUCCGGAACUGUCAGGCUAGAGUGCAGGGGAGGAAGGUAGAAUUCCCGGUGUAGCGGUGAAAUGCGUAGAGAUCGGGAGGAAUACCAGUGGCGAAGGCGGCCUUCUGGACUGACACUGACGCUGAGGUGCGAAAGCGUGGGUAGCAAACAGGAUUAGAUACCCUAGUAGUC
This 464-nucleotide ribosomal RNA is filed under the name Vreelandella stevensii. Its description in RNAcentral is "partial 16S ribosomal RNA". It matches the Rfam family "Bacterial small subunit ribosomal RNA", at positions 338 to 795 of the family's 1533-position model. Lineage: Bacteria; Pseudomonadati; Pseudomonadota; Gammaproteobacteria; Oceanospirillales; Halomonadaceae. The record is from RNAcentral.